Long non-coding RNA from Amblyraja radiata (thorny skate), 585 nucleotides. RefSeq lists it as uncharacterized. The transcript is spliced from 2 exons. The record is from RefSeq and is a predicted model, not a curated record. Lineage: Eukaryota; Metazoa; Chordata; Chondrichthyes; Rajiformes; Rajidae.
UGCGAUUCCCAUUGGCCGAAGCGGCUGUCCGUCAUGCGGCGGGGGCGGGGCACAGGCGACUUCCGUUGCUAGGCAGCGCCUGGGCCUGGGCCGCGCCUGACAGCGGGGCGGCUGCUCACCUGCUGCCCGGUGGGAGUGCUUUGACUACUUUCGACACUUUUCGCCAGUAGGAUCAGGUGAAUGCCAAGCUUGCCUCUUUCAUUUUGCACAUCUGGACUUGUACGAUCUCUGCAGGUACUAUCCUCUUGCCGAACUAUCGCCAACAGCAAACGGUUUUUUAAUCACUUCACAAACCCGAACUACACGGAAAAUAAAGAAAACACCCAGGCCCAUCUUAAACAUAAAGAACUAAAGAACGGGGGGAAUGAUCAACUUGGGGUAAAAUGCAAACAUCUGCCAAUACCCCCCACCUGGUGCUGUGAGAGGGGGUGCCACAACUGUGUAUGGAUUUCAUAUGCAGAAGAAAUGUCAGAAUACUACCAGGAUGCUGGACUAAAAGUCUACAAGGCCAUUGACGAACACGUUAAAGAUGAAAAUCUGAAGGCGUUUAUUAAAAUGGAAAUAAAAUUGCAACAGAAAUUGUAA